Molecule: ribosomal RNA, 301 nt
Filed under: uncultured bacterium
Lineage: Bacteria
Description: partial 16S ribosomal RNA
Rfam family: Bacterial small subunit ribosomal RNA
Source: RNAcentral
CAGCAGCCGCGGUAAUACGAAGGGGGCUAGCGUUGUUCGGAAUUACUGGGCGUAAAGCGCACGUAGGCGGAUAUUUAAGUCAGGGGUGAAAUCCCGCAGCUCAACUGCGGAACUGCCUUUGAUACUGGGCAUCUUGAGUAUGGAAGAGGUUAGUGGAAUUGCGAGUGUAGAGGUGAAAUUCGUAGAUAUUCGCAGGAACACCAGUGGCGAAGGCGGCUCACUGCUCGAUACUGACGCUGAGGUGCGAAAGCGUGGGGAGCAAAUGGGAUUAGAUACCCCCGUAGUCCCUGUCUCUUAUACA